UUUUGGGCUCCGCUGGCGGUUUCUUAACAUGCAAGUCGUGGGAGAAUUUUGGUGUUUGCACCAAAAGGAGACCGGCGAAUGGGUGAGUAACGCGUAGGCAAUCUGCCUGGGAGACGGGGAUAACCCACCGAAAGGUGAGCUAAUACCGGAUGAUGCAGCGGGGUCGCAUGACCCUGUUGUUAAAGGUUUCGGCCACUCCCAGAGGAGCCUGCGUGCCAUUAGCUAGUUGGUGCGGUAACGGCGCACCAAGGCGAUGAUGGCUAGGGGGUCUGAGAGGAUGAUCCCCCACACUGGGACUGAGACACGGCCCAGACUCCUACGGGAGGCAGCAGUGAGGAAUCUUGCGCAAUGGGGGCAACCCUGACGCAGCCACGCCGCGUGCCGGAAGACGGCCCUAUGGGUUGUAAACGGCUUUUAGGUGGGAAGAAUCUCCCGAAUUCGUUCGGGACUGACGGUCCGCCAGAAUAAGCACCGGCUAACUCCGUGCCAGCAGCCCGCGGUAAUACGGAGGGUGCAAGCGUUGUCGGAAUUAUUGGGUGUAAAGGUGCCCAGCCGAACCUACCUCGAGGGUGAAAGACUUCCGUUACGGUCCAGUGCUUUCAUUCCGGGUUUGUUGAUUCCGAAAGAGUUGGUGGAAUUCUGUGUACGGUAAAUCAUAAAUACCAAAGAACCGUGGCAAGCGGCAAUUGUCGG
This 693-nucleotide ribosomal RNA is filed under the name uncultured Antarctic soil bacterium. Its description in RNAcentral is "bacterial SSU rRNA". It matches the Rfam family "Bacterial small subunit ribosomal RNA", at positions 22 to 735 of the family's 1533-position model. The record is from RNAcentral.